Non-coding RNA from Pelobates cultripes (western spadefoot toad), 86 nucleotides. Lineage: Eukaryota; Metazoa; Chordata; Amphibia; Anura; Pelobatidae. The record is from the annotation of a GenBank genome assembly.
GGGAAGGGAAGUGAGAGUGUGCUGUGGGCCCCCUCUGCAAAAAACAGGUAGCAGGGGGCCCACAGCACACUCUCACUUCCCUUCCC